RNAcentral lists this ribosomal RNA (492 nucleotides) under uncultured bacterium. RNAcentral's name for it is "partial 16S ribosomal RNA". It matches the Rfam family "Bacterial small subunit ribosomal RNA", at positions 29 to 507 of the family's 1533-position model. The record is from RNAcentral.
AGUGAACGCUGGCGGUAGGCCUAACACAUGCAAGUCGAACGGCAGCACAGUAAGAGCUUGCUCUUACGGGUGGCGCGUGGCGGACGGGUGAGGAAUACAUCGGAAUCUACUUUUUCGUGGGGGAUAACGUAGGGAAACUUACGCUAAUACCGCAUACGACCUACGGGUGAAAGCAGGGGAUCUUCGGACCUUGCGCGAUUGAAUGAGCCGAUGUCGGAUUAGCUAGUUGGCGGGGUAAAGGCCCACCAAGGCGACGAUCCGUAGCUGGUCUGAGAGGAUGAUCAGCCACACUGGAACUGAGACACGGUCCAGACUCCUACGGGAGGCAGCAGUGGGGAAUAUUGGACAAUGGGCGCAAGCCUGAUCCAGCCAUGCCGCGUGGGUGAAGAAGGCCUUCGGGUUGUAAAGCCCUUUUGUUGGGAAAGAAAAGCAGCAGGUUAAUACCCCGCUGUUCUGACGUUACCCAAAGAAUAAGCACCGGCUAACUUCGUG